RNAcentral lists this signal recognition particle RNA (302 nucleotides) under Aotus nancymaae (Ma's night monkey). RNAcentral's name for it is "Metazoan signal recognition particle RNA (ENSANAG00000012961.1)". It matches the Rfam family "Metazoan signal recognition particle RNA". From Rfam's summary of the family: The signal recognition particle (SRP) is a universally conserved ribonucleoprotein. It is involved in the co-translational targeting of proteins to membranes. The record is from RNAcentral. Lineage: Eukaryota; Metazoa; Chordata; Mammalia; Primates; Aotidae.
GCUGGGCACGGUGGCACUUGCCUGUAGUCCCAGCUACUCGGGAGGCUGAGGUAGGAGGAUCGUUUGAGCCAGGAGUUCUGGGCUGUAGUGGGCUAUGCCAAUUGGGUGUCCUCACUAAGUUUGGCAUCAAUAUGGUAACCUCCAGGGAGCGAGCAGAGGACCACCAGGUUGCCUAAGGAGGGGUGAACUGGCCCAGGUCGGAAACGGAGCAGGUCAAAACUCCCAUGCUGAUCAGUAGUGGGAUUGUGCCUGUGAGUAGCCACUGCACUCCAGCCUGGGCAACAUAGCAAGACCGCGUCUCU